GCUCAGUAACACGUGGAUAACCUACCCUUAGGACUGGGAUAACCCUGGGAAACUGGGGCUAAUACCGGAUAGGCAAUUAUUCCUGCAAUGGUUUUUUGUUUAAAUGUUUUUUCGCCUAAGGAUGGGUCUGCGGCCGAUUAGGUAGUUGGUUAGGUAAUGGCUUACCAAGCCGUUGAUCGGUACGGGCUGUGAGAGCAAGAGCCCGGAGAUGGAACCUGAGACAAGGUUCCAGGCCCUACGGGGUGCAGCAGGCGCGAAACCUCCGCAAUGUGAGAAAUCGCGACGGGGGGAUCCCAAGUGCCAUUCUUAACGGGAUGGCUUUUCAUUAGUGUAAAAAGCUUUUGGAAUAAGAGCUGGGCAAGACCGGUGCCAGCCGCCGCGGUAACACCGGCAGCUCUAGUGGUAGCAAUUUUUAUUGGGCCUAAAGCGUCCGUAGCCGGUUUAAUAAGUCUCUGGUGAAAUCCUGUAGCUUAACUGUGGGAAUUGCUGGAGAUACUAUUAGACUUGAGACCGGGAGAGGUUAGAGGUACUCCCAGGGUAGAGGUGAAAUUCUGUAAUCCUGGGAGGACCGCCUGUUGCGAAGGCGUCUAACUGGAACGGUUCUGACGGUGAGGGACGAAAGUUAGGGGCGCGAACCGGAUUAGAUACCCGGGUAGUCCUAACUGUAAACGAUGCGUACUUKUUUUGGGGUGGCUUUGAGCUGCUCCAGUGCSGAAGGGAAGCUGUUAAGUCCGCCGCCUGGGRAG
Molecule: ribosomal RNA, 746 nt
Filed under: uncultured Methanobrevibacter sp.
Lineage: Archaea; Methanobacteriati; Methanobacteriota; Methanobacteria; Methanobacteriales; Methanobacteriaceae
Description: bacterial SSU rRNA
Rfam family: Archaeal small subunit ribosomal RNA
Source: RNAcentral